This is a long non-coding RNA of Capra hircus (goat), 536 nucleotides long. RefSeq lists it as uncharacterized. The record is from RefSeq and is a predicted model, not a curated record. The transcript has 2 exons. NCBI's taxonomy places the organism in Eukaryota, Metazoa, Chordata, Mammalia, Artiodactyla, Bovidae.
UCUUCAUUGGAGGCGGCGGCGGUGACGUGAAGACCGGAAGGCCUGCCUUCACCCGAGACUCGGAGGAGUGUGGUCUACGCGGCGGUGUCAUGCGGCCGGCGCAAGCCCUUAGUUGGUACCGGCGGAUGUCAGUAGUUUACGGACUGGGCGCCUGGACCCUGCUGGGCUCCUUGAUUUUUUUGAGUCAGAAAAAGAGCAAGCCGCCAGGUGAUAAAGUAGAACAAAAGGAUGCCUCAAGAAACGAACUAUUUGAGCCCCCAAAAGGCUUUUAUGUGGAAACGAUUGUCACAUAUAGAGAAGAUUUUGUUCCAGUUACUGCCAGGAUCAUCAACUAUUUGAAAUCAUGGACUGGUGGCCCUGGACCAAAAUCAUGAUUGACUGCCGAACUCUGAAAACAGAACUUUGGUUCAGCAUAUACACUUGAGAGAUACCUUGAUUUCCACUUUCCACUUGUGAAAAGUGAAUACAUUUAAGUUUGCUGUAAAAUAAAAUAAAAAAUAGGCAAUAAAUAGCCCCUUGAAGAAAAGUAAAUUGCA